RNAcentral lists this ribosomal RNA (622 nucleotides) under uncultured Actinomycetales bacterium. RNAcentral's name for it is "bacterial SSU rRNA". It matches the Rfam family "Bacterial small subunit ribosomal RNA", at positions 94 to 729 of the family's 1533-position model. Lineage: Bacteria; Bacillati; Actinomycetota; Actinomycetes; Actinomycetales. The record is from RNAcentral.
AGUGGCGAACGGGUGAGUAACACGUGGGUGAUCUGCCCUGCACUUCGGGAUAAGCUUGGGAAACUGGGUCUAAUACCGGAUAGGAACCAUCUUUAGUAGUGGUGGUUGGAAAGUUUUUUCGGUGUAGGAUGAGCUCGCGGCCUAUCAGCUUGUUGGUGGGGUAAUGGCCUACCAAGGCGGCGACGGGUAGCCGGCCUGAGAGGGUGUACGGCCACAUUGGGACUGAGAUACGGCCCAGACUCCUACGGGAGGCAGCAGUGGGGAAUAUUGCACAAUGGGCGCAAGCCUGAUGCAGUGACGCCGCGUGGGGGAUGAAGGCCUUCGGGUUGUAAACUCCUUUCGCUAGUGACGAAGCUUUUUGUGACGGUACCUAGAUAAGAAGCACCGGCUAACUACGUGCCAGCAGCCGCGGUAAUACGUAGGGUGCGAGCGUUGUCCGGAAUUACUGGGCGUAAAGGGCUCGUAGGUGGUUUGUCGCGUCGUCUGUGAAAUUCUGGGGCUUAACUCCGGGCGUGCAGGCGAUACGGGCAUAACUUGAGUGCUGUAGGGGUAACUGGAAUUCCUGGUGUAGCGGUGAAAUGCGCAGAUAUCAGGAGGAACACCGAUGGCGAAGGCAGGUUAC